CUCCCUUGUCCACUUACUUAUAUAUCAAAGUUUCCCUCAUAAUGUCUGCUCUGUGUCACUAUGUACCCUCCCCUGUCCUCCAUUCCCCACACCAAGAGUAUUAUGAGUAUUAAAUGCCACGUGGGCAGGUUCCCCAGGCAAUGAGGGGGUGGGCCUGUCAAAUGCAGGCCAUGCAGAAUGCCGCAGGGCGGGAGACGGGUGAGCCAAGGGAGCCGAGAGUUCCAGAUAACAGAGUGCACAGCAAAUGCCAUGGCCCGCGUCCAGCAACCAGGAGAAACAGAACUGCUGAGCUCAGAAUAGGCCAAGGCCGCGUCUGCUAGCAGGGAGCAAGGGCACAGCCUGCUGUCUGGCCUCUUCUGCCCCAUCCCUCCACCGGGACAUGGCCCAGAUGAGAAAGAGCUGCCAGACGGCAAGUCAAGCGUGGGGCGGGAGAGGACAACGUUUUAUGCAAGAGUGGAUUCUCGGAGCCUCUGCACUCUCCAUCAGGGCUGCUGGCAUGGAAAACACAGAGAAACCAUCACCUAGGACUUGAUUGAACUACUGGACUUCCCAGAAGAGUCCAAUUUAAAGCAAAGAGGUCCAGAGAAAAAAGCAUUCUAGUGACAUUUUUAUAUAUUUAAAAACUGGAAAAAAGAAAAAAUAAU
RNAcentral lists this long non-coding RNA (644 nucleotides) under Homo sapiens (human). Its description in RNAcentral is "non-protein coding lnc-ANAPC1-5:1". Lineage: Eukaryota; Metazoa; Chordata; Mammalia; Primates; Hominidae. The record is from RNAcentral.